Molecule: microRNA precursor, 67 nt
Filed under: Bombyx mori (domestic silkworm)
Lineage: Eukaryota; Metazoa; Arthropoda; Insecta; Lepidoptera; Bombycidae
Description: mir-2774 microRNA precursor family
Rfam family: mir-2774 microRNA precursor family
Source: Rfam by way of RNAcentral
ACAAGAUUCGGAUCGUCGGUCGAUCGAGCAAUGUCACUCGCUCCAUGGAAGGUCUUUUCAUUAUCAU